AAAACUUCUCAACCACAUUGAAUGAUGUGGCUUGGAUUGUGGGGGUCUUUUUUGCAGGCUUUCUCAAGAAGGUCGGCUCCCCUGAAAUGUAUUAGUGGUAUCUGUGCUACUAUGGUGUGAUAAAUUAUCUAUGCCUUUGGUAUGCUGCAUGAACUGCUUCUAAUUUAUAUUAUGA
Molecule: unclassified non-coding RNA, 175 nt
Filed under: uncultured Inocybaceae
Lineage: Eukaryota; Fungi; Basidiomycota; Agaricomycetes; Agaricales
Description: sequence contains ITS2
Source: RNAcentral